RNAcentral lists this non-coding RNA (21 nucleotides) under Caenorhabditis elegans. The record is from RNAcentral. Lineage: Eukaryota; Metazoa; Nematoda; Chromadorea; Rhabditida; Rhabditidae.
UAUAUCCGUGUAUUUCGUAGA